This 1075-nucleotide long non-coding RNA is filed under the name Equus caballus (horse). RNAcentral describes it as "lncRNA (ENSECAG00000045438.1)". Lineage: Eukaryota; Metazoa; Chordata; Mammalia; Perissodactyla; Equidae. The record is from RNAcentral.
UACACUCUGCGUCGACCAGGAAGGCCGUGCCGGGGCAUAGGGCAGGAUAGAGGGGCAUUAGCAGCUUCCUUCCUCCCCUGAAAAUCACAGAAGCCACCCGUGCCAAGCCAUCUGACACAUCGGACGUUGACUUAUUUGUCUUGCAUAUGGUCUGUUUUCCCUGCUGGAACGUAAGCUCCGUGAGGCCCAGGAUUCCCAGAGACUACAGAGCGCCUGCCACGUAGUAGAUACUCAGUUAACAUCUGUUGCACGGAAGAAGCCUUGUUACAAAGCCGUAAGCUCUGCUGAUAAAGAGUUUGAUCUGGUCGGGAGGAGGGGGGUGAUCCAUUGCCACCUUGCCCUCAGCCGGGGCAGCUGCAUGGGUGUAUGUGUGUCUUUACUCGCAGAGAAGAGCUGGCCCUUGCUGGGAACCGCCCCCACCUCAGUCCGGGCCCCAGGGAAAGCUGCAGGUGACACAGCCUCCCUCAGGGUCACACUGGUGCCCCCACUUUGACUCCCCCCAACAGCCUAACUUCCCACGUCUCUGAGUUUGGGGCUUCUGCCAGCCUGCAGCCCUGCACUAGCCUGCCCCCACCUCCCUGGAGGCCCCCAGCAGUUCCAUCUCCGUGGUCCCCUCUGGCCAGCCUCAGUGGGCACCAGGACCACCUCUGCAUGAGACCCUGAUUGGAAAGGGCAGGCAGAACUGGCGUUUUCUCUUCUCCAUAUCCACCUCCAGCCCCAACAAGCACCAAGAAAAAGGGUUGUUGAUGGUGUUUCAGAAGCUCCAUGACCCCAUAAAAUAUGCUUCAUUUUUCUCAGAAAAUGAGCCAUUUUUUUCCCUCUGUGUUUUCAUAUGGUGCCCAGAAGUCCCUGGAUUUCCUGGAAUUCAUAUGAAGAAUUCCAGCUAUUCCAGCCGUAGUUUUCACACACACAGCUCCUGCCAACAGACUGUGGCCAUCUGGGGGCAGCCUGCGGGGGUGGAGUCAGCUCGCUCUCGAGUCCUGGAGAUCUGGCAAGGGCUUCUCAGCUGACCCUCUGCAUGCUCCUGGGUAUUUUUUAAAAACAGUUUUAUUGAGGUGUCAUUGGCAUAUAAUAA